This is an RNA transcript of Papaver somniferum (opium poppy), 3373 nucleotides long. It is a transcript of the gene named cyclin-T1-4-like, with no coding region annotated. Lineage: Eukaryota; Viridiplantae; Streptophyta; Magnoliopsida; Ranunculales; Papaveraceae. The transcript is spliced from 9 exons. The record is from RefSeq and is a predicted model, not a curated record.
UUCAAACGGUUCUCUCAAUUUUUUCUCAAAUAUAAAAAAGAAAAGUUAAAAGUAACCAUAUUUCAUAUCAAUAUCCCCCCAAAAAAUCAAAACCCUAAUUUGAUCUAAAAAUCUGAACAGAAUUUCAGAUCUUCUCGUUUCCACUGCAAAAUUAUGUCUUUCUCGCGGAUAGCUCGCAGACAAGGAGUGAAUUUCCAACAUGAAUUUGAGUCCUCUAUCAACAGAAACAACAUGUACCAGCACAAAAACCCACAUUAUUGCAAUAGCAAUACGAGCUACCUUCAUGGCAUGCCUAGAAAUUAUGGGGAAUAUGUUUAUAAUGUUAGAAGUGAUGAAAAUGCUAAUCCUUUGAAGAGGAGAAAAUGUUCGAAUUCUGGGGAUAGCCAGAGAUACUACCGGCAACCUAACAGCAAUGGUCCUUCGACAAGCAAUAGUUUAUUUAUUGCUUCUACCAGACCUGAUGUGAAUAACUCAACCGUAAUAGGUUGUAAACGUGACAGGUCACAGAUAGAUGACGAAGUAGAGUUUUUUUCUAGAGAUGAGAUCGAGAGACUGUCCCCAUCAAGAAAGGAUGGUAUCGAUCCUCUCCGAGAAACAUAUCUUCGUAAUUCUUACUGUUCAUUUCUUCAGAAUCUUGGUACACGACUUGAAUUGCCACAGACUACCAUUGGAACCGCAAUGGUUCUUUGCCACCGCUUUUUUGUUCGAAGAUCACAUGCUUGUCACGAUAGAUUUUUGAUCUCGACGGCAGCCCUUUUCCUUGCGGCGAAGUCUGAGGAGACGCCGUGCCCUUUGAACAAUGUAUUGAGGGUGUCAUAUGAAAUUUGCUACAAGCAGGAUCUUAAUUUCUUUCCUUAUCUUCUCCCUGUGGACUGGUUCGAGCAGUAUCGGGAACAUGUUAUUGAUGCCGAGAACAUAAUACUGAGAACACUGGAUUUUGAGCUUAAUGUGGAGCAUCCCUACGAUCCUCUGACAUCAGUCCUUAACAAAUUAGGACUAUCAGAGACUGUUUUGAUCCACUUGGCACUAAACUUGGUCAGUGAAGGUUGUCGCAGGCAUUUGUUCUUUUCUUUUUAUAUAUAGUGCAGCAGCUCCAUACGUCUUGAAAUUGUAGAAGAGAAUACUUAGCUGGAUCUUCACAAGAAUAGCGUGCUCACCUUAUGAUAUUCUUAGCUGGCGAUUUGAUAUGAUUUUCAUGCAUGGAAAGUUUUGUUUUACGCCUGAAGUUGGAGUGCUGAUGUGUUGUGGAUAGCUUUUUCAUGAAAGUCUUUUACCAUUGUGGUCAUUGGUUACUGGGUUAACCACCAACCUACCACCACCAGUUUAUAAUAUCUCACCCUUAGGAUUUUCUCUGACUGCUGCGGUUUUCUCUAGAAACUGCUGCGGUUUUCCGUCCCCACAAUGCCAUGAAAUCUGUCCGGACCACAAAUUUUCAUAAAUGGACCAUACGAAAUAAUGAUGUCACAGACUACUAUAUUAAUUGCUUAUAAGCAGUAUUCUGUUUGAUGGCUAAAGUGAUUUUGGUCUAUAUUCUUCGGAUAUGAUGUAUUUAAAAAGGUUUCUUUGCCUGGAGCUCUCAGAUAUUAUGGUGAGACGGAAUAUAGGUUGUGUAUGGACUUAUACGAGCUAUUACUAUGUAUGAGUCUUCCAUCUGACACGGUACUCCAUUCAGUUUUGGGUUAGGUGUUAUUUCUCUACUUCGGUUGAUGGGCUUCCCUUUUGUUUAAGGAAUAGUCUAUUGUCUUUAGACUUGCAUCAGAAUAUUAUUUUUCAAAAGUGUGCCUUAAGAGUUCACAUCUCCAAGUUCUAUUCUAAUGUUGGAGACAAGGUAAUGUUUUCUAUAUAUAUAUAUAUAUAUAUAUUUGUAUUCUUUGCAUGUAGGUAAAAUUGAACCAUAACUUUUACCAGGUAGCAUGAUUUGCUAUUGAGAUUGUCAGCCAUUGAGCCAGUGGUAGUAGGUUAUGAUAUAUCUAGGCAGAUGUGAAAAGAAAUCAUGCAUCUAAUGACUAAGCAGGAGUAAGCUAAGAAAGUAAAGCCAAGGGUCUUAGGAGGCAUGUUUUAAAUUAGAAGUCAAGAACCGAAUAGUGCCUCUAGUGCAGCCAGAUUUCUUCGUACCAAUUGUUCUUUGUCUCUUUGGCUAUAAUACUGUUUUUAAAAUAGUCGGAAUAAAGAAGAAUAAGAAAUGGUACUUAGUUUUUGACGUUUGACUUCUCAGAUGGACACAAACUCAUCCUCUUUUGUCCUUUUGUUCAUUCCCACUUUUUUCCUAUUUCCUUUUCUCUUUUCUCUUUGCCCCUUUGUUCUUUCUUUCUGCUAAUGCUUUUCAUGCUUAAAAGUUCUUUUGCAUUUCAAAGUUCCCAAUGGAUUUGUUUAUAUGCGACCCAAUUUACAGGUAUCCAUAGACGUCGCCGGUUUACCUUUAGGAAUUUAUGUAUGUCCAAUUUCCCGUUGGAUGAAAUGUUGAUCAGUGUUGUUACAGUUGCAGUUUUUGGUUUGAGAUAGCUUGCAUUCUGGAGUCAAAUAUUCGUUACGUAGUAUGAUGAAUUUACGUGCCUUUACAAACAUUAUAACAUUUACGUAUGCUAUGACAUGGUGCAACAUCAGUGUUUUCUACUUGAUGCUUUUAUGGGCACCUCUGUCAGUUCAGUCCACAUGAUUGUUGGCGUCUAUCACCACUCAUUUUAGCACCGUGGUCAUGGGUGUAUUGCCUGUCUAUGUUGUCAAUAGUGCUUCUGCCAUGAGUGUGAAAUCGUGCUCUUUCACAUGACAUCAUUGAAAAGAAGAAACUGGCACGACCUUUGAGAAAGUUUCAAUCAUAAAAAAACAUCCGACAAAAUUAUGUAUCUGAUGAAUAAUGGAAAUGUGCCUUCCCCUGAAGGACAAUUAGGUCUUGGAGCUGAUUCGUUGUUCCAGUAGUUAUGACAAAUUUUGGUAUUGUUUCGAAACCUUGUUAGCAUUUCUGGAGAUUCUCGGGAAAAUAUUCCUUCUGAUGGCUGCUUUCAUAGUUGGCUUCGGAGCUCACUUUGGCUUCAGUUCAAACCUCAUCAUAUUGCUGCUGGUGCUGCAUAUCUUGCUGCAAAGUUCCUUAAUUUUGAUCUCGCAGCUUACCAAACAAUGUUGCAAGAGUUCCAUACAACGCCUUCCAUUGUGCAAGAUGUGGUCCAACAGUUGAUGGAGCUCUUUUAGAAGAUUUAUAUAUAUAGUCUAGGGGACUCUUGUAUCUGAGGCUCGUUAUACAUACAUGUAAGAUUAUCGUGUAUUAGUUGUUAUAUUGAACCUUCCCUUUUGGAGAAUUGAUGUAUAAAGUUGCUAUAUUAUGGAACUCUUUGAAAUCAGGUCUGCAAAUAGUAUCAACUAAUACAACUUCUGCACA